Ornithodoros turicata is the source of this 254-nucleotide long non-coding RNA. RefSeq lists it as uncharacterized. The record is from RefSeq and is a predicted model, not a curated record. Lineage: Eukaryota; Metazoa; Arthropoda; Arachnida; Ixodida; Argasidae. The transcript is spliced from 2 exons.
UGCGCCAAUCAUGGAGUGCUUAGCAGUCGCCUGCUCGACCAGCCACAGUGAGUCAUUGGAGGCAGUGCUGCAGCACCAACAAUCACUCAUUAGAAGAAAGGAAUGAGGUGGCCAUCAACACCCUGCUGCCAGUUCAACACUCCUCAGUCAAAACACAAGAUGCCUGCUUGGCGGCAAAGUCAAUCCAGUUUUAGACAAGAGUUUUGUACCGUAGACUUCGUGUGUGGUUUACUGCAAAUAAAUGUUUAUGCUGA